This is a long non-coding RNA of Lacerta agilis (Sand lizard), 465 nucleotides long. RefSeq lists it as uncharacterized. The transcript is spliced from 3 exons. The record is from RefSeq and is a predicted model, not a curated record. NCBI's taxonomy places the organism in Eukaryota, Metazoa, Chordata, Lepidosauria, Squamata, Lacertidae.
CUGCAACCUAUGAGGCACCUUUGAACCCCUGAGCUCAGGGUGCCAGAGUUGCUAGAGUUCUCUGAAUGGGCAGAAAGAGAUGAGGACCAGAUCACUGGUUGGUUACUACUGAGAAGAGGAGAAAGUUGCUGAGAAAUUUUAGCAAAUCGUAAGGAAGGAGCAGGUGUGGCACCUGAACGCUGUUAAGACGACGAUGGCUAUUAAACGCAAGUUCAGCACUCUCUCCUGGUACUACUGGCAAUACCAGCUGAUCACGAUGGCUUAUCUCAUGGAUCCUUUUGAAUGGUGGGUCUUCCACAGUUUGCUCCUUGUUUGCAUUAUGGGGUCGGCCUACAUUUUUUAUGCCGUUGUUCCUCCUCAGAUUCGCCUGGUUCUGGAGCUCAUUUAUCAUGUGUUUGGCUUGCAGCCAGAAAGCACCAUUCCAGCCAUGAUGUGAACUUGCAAUGCACAAUAGUGACUGUUCCC